UCUCACAUCCCUUGCAUGGUGGAGGGUGAGCUUUCUGAAAACCCCUCCCACAUGCAGGGUUUGCAGGA
Dipodomys ordii (Ord's kangaroo rat) is the source of this 68-nucleotide microRNA precursor. Ensembl annotates it as microRNA 188. Its record names the gene Mir188. The record is from Ensembl. NCBI's taxonomy places the organism in Eukaryota, Metazoa, Chordata, Mammalia, Rodentia, Heteromyidae.